UAAUACUAUUUUCCACCGACAUACAUCUCCACCCGCCAUAUGUUUUAUUCAUAUGGUUCUCUAACCUUCACAUAAUGUAAUUUGGCUGCUGGUUUAAGCCGCACCCUUAACAAGGUCUGAAAAAACAGAAAAGAAAAAAAAAAUCACGUCAAUUGGUCUCCACUCGCAGUCGUCACUCGUCAUCGUCCCACCUCCUCCUUGUCUUCUCCGGGCAGCAGACGUAUAUAAACACACUGAUCCAUCUUCCUCGAGCUUACCCAGUAACAUCACGAUAACCAUUACGUGGCGCUCAGAUGGGAGGGCGCACAGGCUCCGAUUGUGGCCGAUUUCAAUAGAAAAGCCAACAGUGAAAGAGGUGCAGCCUCGGCUACUCAUCCAGAACACGCUGCACGAAUGUUAUGUCGGCAUCACCUGUUGUUCCCGUCGAUGAACGGCAGAAGCAGGGGAUUUGGAUGUGACCAAAAAAAAAGAGUCGAAGGUGCUGGUGGUGCUGAGUGGAAGACUAGUGAUUUUGUUGUGACGCUGAUCAAAGAACAACAAGUCCCAGUCUGCCUCUCAGCACAAGCAGUGAACUUCAGUUUCACGUCAACGUGAACCUGCUCUUCAGCUCAGGAGCCGUUCACGUUUCAUUGUUGGCACUGUUGAUGAAAUUUCCUGUUUAUUCAGCAGGCAACAAUAUGAAGCCUGCCCUUUAAAAAUCACAUAAAAUGUUCUGAUUCACGCUCCGUGUGAAGGAGUUUCGCUGCACAGUAAUGUUAAUUACCAGCAGAAUUGCAAUCAAAAGCAUCAUUUAAGCGAGUGAAUCACACACUAUAAAAGCCACGUAGGGAAAUGCUGUAAUAACAAUGCUAUAAAGCCCUUUGUACAAGAAACAAAAAAAAAAGACUAAAAUUGCCCAGUAUUAUUUUUCUACGUCUAUUUUCGGGCUUGCUCAUUCUCAUUGUGCUUUGUUCAAACUGUUUAUUGAUCAUUAAUCUGUAGACAUGGGAAUAAAUGGGACUUCUUUUAUUUACACUGCAAAAUAAAACCUGUUUUUUUUAAAAA
Molecule: long non-coding RNA, 1044 nt
Organism: Oreochromis niloticus (Nile tilapia)
Lineage: Eukaryota; Metazoa; Chordata; Actinopteri; Cichliformes; Cichlidae
Exons: 2
Source: RefSeq, a predicted model, not a curated record